GUGAAAGAGAAAAGUAACUGGGACUGAGAGAAAGAGUUGAAGAAAUGGAACCUAAAGGAAGGGCCGCCUGAGAGGGCAUGAUGAGAGACUCAACGUAAUUGGAGGGAUCAGGGAAGACCUCUCUGAGAAAGUGACAUUUAAGCAGAGACUUUAAGGAGCAGGAAUUGUCUAAAUGAAGAGUGGAGGGUGGAGUAUUCCAGACAGGAAUAACUUACGAGAAGGUCCUGACAGAGAGGAGCUUGGGGGAGUUGAAGGUACUGAAAAGCCAAUGUGGGAGACAAGGAAGAGCCUGGCAAGGUAAGCAGGGAAUAAAUCCUGCAGGGCCUUGUGGACCAUGGUAAGGGUUUCUUUCUUCAUCUUAAGAGGAUUGGGAAGGCUUGAAGACUUUAAACAGGGAAGCUGGCGUGAUCAGAUGUGUAUUUUAAAAGCCCCUCCUGCCUCUCUGUAAAAGAAGCAGAAUGACAAGAGGCUCACAGACUUCUCUGAAUCUCCCACUAAACUGUAAGCUCUUGAGGGCAGAAACUGUGUCUUAUUAAUGAUUGUAUCCACAGAGUCCAGCAUUGCACCUGACUCAUAGCAGAUGCUCAGUAUUUCUUUAAUGAAUUGAAUAAAUGGAUGGUGGAGCCAGAAUUUCAACUUAGUUUUUUAAGAAAGAUUCAGCUCAAGUAUCAACAUCCUCCUCCUCCUCCCACCCCCUACUUUCAAAGACCACCUCUUUACCCCCAUCUUAGACUGGAUUUGAUAUCCCUCCUUUUGCCUCCAGUGCAUCUGUGGUUGAUUGUACUUCCCAGAAACAGCCACAAUAUCUCACACCCCACAUGUUUUUCUGACAGUGUGACUUUGACACUCAUACUACUGAGAGGUGAGGUGUAGUUCCCUCCCUUUGGAUUUGAGGCUAGGUCAUAAAAGGUGAUUCAGCUUCUGCCUGGUCCUUGGGAUGCUCACUUUUGGAACUCAGACACUGUGUGAGGAAAACCAAGCUGCCCGUGGAGAGGCCCACAUGGAGAACCAAAAACUAGCAUCAACUUGCCAGCCAUCUGAAUGAGCCAUCUUGGAAGUACAUCCUCCAGCUCCCAAUCAGUCCACGCCAGCUGACAUUUUCUGCAGUGGCAAUGAGCUGUCCCCACUGAACCCUGCCCAAAUUGAAGAUUCAUUAGCAAAAUAAAUGAUGGUGUUUAAGCCACUAAAUUUUGGGGUGGUUUGUUAAGCAGUGAUAGAUAACUGGAACAGUAUCCUGUUUGUCAUGCAGAGAGGUGGCAUAACUCAGUGGUUGAGUAGGCUGUAGAGUACAACUGCCUUGGUUCAAAGCCCAGCUCUGCUACUUACUAGUUGCAUGACUUUUGGCAAGUUACUUAACCAUUCUGUGCCCCAGUUUCCUUAUAUUUUUAUGGUAUAGAUAAAAAUGGUACCUACUUAAGUUUGCUGGGAGGAUAAAGUGAUUUUAUGCAGGUAGAUGCAGAUCUACAGAUAAUGCAGAUCAAUCACUGUGAUCACCUCCUCAGACAGACUUCUAAUCACUUGACCAUCACUCUCAUGUGAUUCUGUCUUUGUCUUUAUAGCUUUUAGUUCUAUCUGAAGUGAUCAUGUCUACUCAUUUGUUUAUUGUCACUUUUAUUCUACCAGAGUGUAAGCUCCAGUAAAUCAGCAACCUUGCCUGUCUCAUUUCCUGCUGCAUCCCUAGUACCUGGAACAGUGCCUGGCACAAAGUGCUUAACUUUUUUUUUUUUUUUGGUGAAUGGAUGAAUAGCACUUAUCACACUUGUGGAAGACAUCAUUAGUUCUUACCCAGCAUCCAUUCUCUCCUUCCACUCCUUCCAUAGCAGUAGACCCUGGUUUUUUUUGGAUGUCAAUAUACUCGCUGUUCCAGACUGCUUGCAGCGAGGGGUGGUUAUGUAACACAUUUCUGGUCAGUGAAACAUAAUCAAAGGUCUGCCAAGGAUAUCUGGAAAAAAUUUUGCCUUCUUGAUGGUAGGCACUGCUCUUUCUUCUCUCUACUUGCCCUUUUCCUUGCCUGCAGUACAGGCUGGAAGUAGAGCAGCCAAGAAGGUGAUAAGGAAGAGGACAAAAAUGAGAAACAGGAGAAGCCUGAGACAUUGUUGUUCUAGUGGAGUUGCUACAUCACUAACUCCAGACCUCUUUGUUCUGUAAGAAAAAUUAACCCUUUGUAGUUAAGCCAUAGCAGUCAGACUUCUGUUACCUGCAGCCAAAUACAUUCUCAACUGAUACACUAUGGUAGAGUAGUAUCUACCCCUCUAGGCUGUCCCUUACGAGCAAGCUUAUAUAUUUUAUCUUCCCUACUACUGCACAGAAGCAUCAGAAAAAUUCAGCAGCACAGAUAUCACUCACUCUCCACAUCCUUCCAGCUCUCUUCAAAUAGUGAAUGUGUUUAGGUAGCAUGGGACUUUGCAUUAUCUGAAUCUGUUUGGCUCCUGAGUUCAGACAGUGAGAUUUCAAACAGUGCAGGUUACCUGUACUAUUCAUUCCUAAAGUAAACAUUCAUUUAUUGCCACUCUAUGCCAGACACAAUAUUGAGAUUCCAGCUCAUAGUGACCCAUAGGACAGAGUAGAACUGCCCCAUAGGGUUUCCAAGACUGUAAUCUUUACUGGAGCAGAUUGCCAGGUCUUUCUCCUGCGGAACCACUGGAUGGGUUUGAACUGCAACCUUUUGGUUAGCAGCAAAGCACUUAACCAUUGUGCAACCAAGGCUCCUUAUUGGGACUAUAGUGAUGAUUUAGUCGAAUGAUUGAAGCUGGAUGCCUGCAUUCCUACUGAACAUUAAGCUUCCAAAGGGUGGGAACUAUGCUGCUUCCCAAUAAGGGAGAGACAUAAUUCUUGCAGUCUCUACCUCUACCAUCUUGUUCCUCAUCUCAACCUUCUUUACUACCUAUGCCUCACUUCACUUAUUCAUUCACAUCUUUUUUUUUUUUUUUAUUGCUUCCCACAUGCCUAGAAUACCCAGCACUUGGACUGCAUAUGUUUGUACUUUGAAUGCCCAAUCUUUGCCUUCCCAGGUAAAGAUUAAUUCAGGUUUCAAAUUUUGUGUGCUUUUUCUACAACUAAACUUUCAUGUGCUCUUGCUGAUCGGUCAUAAAGAGGCUGUUCUACCAAUAUCACAUCUAUGUGGUCUCCCUAAACUGAGCUGUGGGGGCUGGGUAUACUAACCUUAUCCUGAUGUCAUGACUGAGUAUUAUGGUACCAAAUUCAAACGAUGGAUUCCCCUCGCUCAGCUUCAGGGUAUGUCCAUAUCAAAAUUUGGAACAGUGGUAAAAUGUGUCAGACUAGUCAUAAACUUAGCCCCUAAUGCUUUAGGAAGUUCUGCCACAGCAACAGGUGGGUAUAAGCCAGGUGGAGACAGACCAUUGAGUCAGGUGCCAGGAAUCCUAGGACCACAUUAUAUUAUCAAUUUUGGUAUUUUACUUUUGAGGGCCUUUAUUGUUAUUUAUAUGUGUAUGUACUAUUUCAAGGGGAGGGAGUUGAGCCAUUUUGAGAAUCUGAUGGAAAUUUUAGCACCUUUCUCUAAAAUAAUAUAUACAUAUGUAAGCACAUGUGUGUGUAUGCACACACACAUGUGCACACACACAUUUGGAAACAGUUUCAGGAGGUCCAGGUUAAGAAUCCACCUGUGACUUGCCACAAAGGUAAACUUUCAGUACCAUAUAUUUGGUCCUUUAUAAUGUACUGUUUUCAUUUACCUUUUUGUGUGUGUAUAUUUUAUCCCAGUGAGUGGGCAAGCUUCCUACAAAGGCCUAGGAAUUGAGACCUUUUAUGCCUUUAUAUCUCCCCCAGUGAUGUGUACAUGUAGGGAACCCAGCUUGUAGGAAGUAUUUACUGGUUGAGUCCUUUGAAGCUGCUGUGGUUUACUAAGGACAGGCAGCUUUCCUUUCAACACUACCUCGCUCCAACCAAAAGAGAUCACUACAAGAGGACUUGGACCCCAUACUCAUGUUCUAUUUACAUUCUAGGUUUUAGGCCAAGGCAUUGUUUACAUACCCCUCAUGCAAAUAUCCAGUCUUGGAUAGUUAGAGAACAACACAGGGCCUAGU
Long non-coding RNA from Trichechus manatus latirostris (Florida manatee), 4043 nucleotides. RefSeq lists it as uncharacterized. NCBI's taxonomy places the organism in Eukaryota, Metazoa, Chordata, Mammalia, Sirenia, Trichechidae. The transcript is spliced from 3 exons. The record is from RefSeq and is a predicted model, not a curated record.